UGAGGAAUAUUGGGCAAUGCCCGAAAGGGUGACCCAGCAACGCCGCGUGGAGGAUGAAGGUCGUAAGAUUGUAAACUCCUGUUAGAGGGGAAGAAUAACUAAGUUUGGAGCUUAGUAUGACUGUACCCUCAGAGAAAGCCCCGGCUAACUACGUGCCAGCAGCCGCGGUAAUACGUAGGGGGCAAGCGUUGUCCGGAUUUACUGGGUGUAAAGGGCGCGCAGGCGGAAUGGAAAGUCAGUGGUGAAAUCCUACAGCUUAACUGUAGAACUGCCUUUGAUACUUUCAUUCUUGAGUUCGGGAGAGAGAGACGGAAUUCCAGGUGUAGUGGUGAAAUACGUAGAUAUCUGGAAGAACACCAGUUGCGAAGGCGGUCUCUUGGUCCGAUACUGACGCUGAGGCGCGAAAGCGUGGGGAGCAAA
RNAcentral lists this ribosomal RNA (420 nucleotides) under uncultured bacterium. Its description in RNAcentral is "bacterial SSU rRNA". It matches the Rfam family "Bacterial small subunit ribosomal RNA", at positions 355 to 772 of the family's 1533-position model. The record is from RNAcentral.